CAGGUGGUGCAUGGUUGUCGUCAGCUCGUGUCGUGAGAUGUUGGGUUAAGUCCCGCAACGAGCGCAACCCUUAUCCUUAGUAGCCAGCAGUUUGGCUGGGCACUCUGGGGAGACUGCCAGGGAUAACCUGGAGGAAGGUGGGGAUGACGUCAAAUCAUCAUGCCCCUUAUGAUUUGGGCUACACACGUGCUACAAUGGCGUAAACAAAGGGAAGCGAAGGAGUGAUCCGGAGCAAAUCUCAAAAAUAACGUCUCAGUUCGGAUUGUAGUCUGCAACUCGACUACAUGAAGCUGGAAUCGCUAGUAAUCGCGGAUCAGAAUGCCGCGGUGAAUACGUUCCCGGGUCUUGUACACACCGCCCGUCACACCAUGGGAGUUGGUAACGCCCGAAGUCAGUGACCCAACCGUAAGGAGGGAGCUGCCGAAGGCGGGACUGAUAACUGGGGUGAAGUCGUAACAAGGUA
This 463-nucleotide ribosomal RNA is filed under the name uncultured bacterium. Its description in RNAcentral is "bacterial SSU rRNA". It matches the Rfam family "Bacterial small subunit ribosomal RNA", at positions 1035 to 1498 of the family's 1533-position model. The record is from RNAcentral.